This 253-nucleotide ribosomal RNA is filed under the name uncultured bacterium. RNAcentral's name for it is "partial 16S ribosomal RNA". It matches the Rfam family "Bacterial small subunit ribosomal RNA", at positions 524 to 776 of the family's 1533-position model. The record is from RNAcentral.
UACAGAGGGUGCAAGCGUUAAUCGGAAUGACUGGGCGUAAAGGGCGCGUAGGCGGAUGAUUAAGUUAGAUGUGAAAUCCCUGGGCUUAACCUAGGAUGUGCAUAUAAUACUGGUUGUCUAGAGUAGAGUAGAGGGAAGUGGAAUUUCCGGUGUAGCGGUGAAAUGCGUAGAUAUCGGAAAGAACACCAGUGGCGAAGGCGGCUUCCUGGACUCAUACUGACGCUGAGGCGCGAAAGCGUGGGUAGCAAACAGG